Molecule: ribosomal RNA, 1961 nt
Filed under: Thermoanaerobacter pseudethanolicus ATCC 33223
Lineage: Bacteria; Bacillati; Bacillota; Clostridia; Thermoanaerobacterales; Thermoanaerobacteraceae
Description: bacterial LSU rRNA
Rfam family: Bacterial large subunit ribosomal RNA
Source: RNAcentral
GGUAGGGGAGCGUACUGUACGGGUAGAAGGCAAAGCGUAAGCUAAGCUGGACUGUACAGUAGAGAGAAUGCCGGCAUGAGUAACGAGAGUAAGGUGAGAAACCUUACCGCCGGAAGCCUGAGGUUUCCUGGGGAAGGGUAAUCCACCCAGGGUAAGUCGGGGCCUAAGCCGAGGCGAGAGCGUAGGCGAUGGGGAACCGGUAGAGAAUCCGGUACCACCGAGGGCCGGUAAGAGAAGUGGGGACGCAGCGAGAUAGGUGGAGCGUGCGGUUGGUAGGGCACGUCCAAUCAGGCACCGAAGGGUACGUAGGCAAAUCCGCGUACAGGCAGGGGUCUGAGAAGGGGAGCCGGAAGGCGAAGCCACCGAAGCAGCUGCCGAGAAAAGCCGCUAUCGAGGUCCAAGGUGCCCGUACUGCAAACCGACACAGGUAGGCGAGGAGAGGAUCCACAGGCGAGCGGGAGAACCCUCAUUAAGGAACUCGGCAAAAUGACUCCGUAACUUCGGGAGAAGGAGUGCCGAAAGGCCGCAGAGAAGAGACCCAAGCGACUGUUUACCAAAAACACAGGUCUCUGCUAAGUCGGAAGACGAAGUAUAGGGGCUGACGCCUGCCCGGUGCUGGAAGGUUAAGGGGAAGUGUGAGAGCACUGAACCGAAGCCCCAGUGAACGGCGGCCGUAACUAUAACGGUCCUAAGGUAGCGAAAUUCCUUGUCGGGUAAGUUCCGACCCGCACGAAAGGCGUAACGACUUGGGCGCUGUCUUGAUGAGGGGCCCGGUGAAAUUGUAGUACUCGUGAAGAUGCGAGUUACCCGCGAUUGGACAGAAAGACCCCGUGGAGCUUUACUGUAGCCUGUCACUGGAUUUUGGUAAUUCUUGUACAGGAUAGGUGGGAGACGGAGAAGGUAGGGCGCCAGCCUUACUGGAGUCGGCGUUGGGAUACCACCCUGGGAUUACCGGAAUUCUAACCUAUAGCCGUGGAACCGGCGUAGGGACAAUGGCAGGUGGGCAGUUUGACUGGGGCGGUCGCCUCCUAAAGGGUAACGGAGGCGCCCAAAGGUUACCUCAGCGCGGACGGGAAUCGCGCGAGAGAGUGCAAAGGCAGAAGGUAGCCUGACUGCGAGAGAGACAUCUCGAGCAGGGACGAAAGUCGGGCUUAGUGAUCCGGCGGCAGUGAGUGGGAACGCCGUCGCUCAACGGAUAAAAGCUACCCCGGGGAUAACAGGCUGAUCUCCCCCAAGAGUCCACAUCGACGGGGAGGUUUGGCACCUCGAUGUCGGCUCAUCGCAUCCUGGGGCUGAAGUAGGUCCCAAGGGUUGGGCUGUUCGCCCAUUAAAGCGGUACGCGAGCUGGGUUCAGAACGUCGUGAGACAGUUCGGUCCCUAUCCGUCGCGGGCGAAGGAAACUUGAGAGGCACUGCCCCUAGUACGAGAGGACCGGGGUGGACGAACCGAUGGUGUACCAGUUGCACCGCCAGGUGCACAGCUGGGUAGCCAAGUUCGGAGGGGAUAAACGCUGAAAGCAUCUAAGCGUGAAGCCCGCCUCAAGAUUAGGUUUCCCACCCGGCACUCAACUAUACUUACUGGAGGAAGGCAAGAUGUAUUAUGUGUAUGUCCUGGCAAAUGAAAAAGGAAAGAUAUAUAUAGGCUAUACGUCUAAUAUAAAGGAAAGGUAUUUAGCGCAUCAACGAAAAGAAGUAAAGAGUACAAGAGAAGGAAAAUGGAGAUUAGUAUACUAUGAAGCAUAUAGAGAUAAAAAAGAUGCGUUGAUAAGGGAGAAACAUUUAAAAAAGUCAGGACAAGGGCGUAGAUGGCUAAAAGAGAGGAUAAAGAAUAGUCUUUCCACUAGUGAGUAGAGUUGAGUGCCGGGGUAAGACACCUCGAAGACCACGAGGUAGAUAGGCCGGGGGUGUAAGAGUGGAAACACUCUUAGCUGACCGGUACUAAUCAGUCGAGGACUUGACCGA